CCUACGGGUGGCAGCAGUCGAGAAUCAUUCACAAUGGGGGAAACCCUGAUGGUGCGACGCCGCGUGGGGGAAUGAAGGUCUUCGGAUUGUAAACCCCUGUCAUGUGGGAGCAAAUUAAAAAGAUAGUACCACAAGAGGAAGAGACGGCUAACUCUGUUCCAGCAGCCGCGGUAAUACAGAGGUCUCAAGCGUGGUUCGGAAUCACUGGGAGUAAAGCAUGCGUAGGCUGUUUCGUACGGCGUGUGUGAAAGGCGCGGGGACAACCCGCGGACGGCACAUGAUACUGCGAGACUAGAGUAAGGGAGGGGGAACCGGAAUUCUCGGUGUAGCAGUGAAAUGCGUAGAUAUCGAGAGGAACACUCGGGGCGAAGGCGGGUUCCUGGACAUUAACUGACGCUGAGGCACGAAGGCCAGGGGAGCGAAAGGGAUUAGAUACCCCAGUAGUC
This 446-nucleotide ribosomal RNA is filed under the name uncultured bacterium. Its description in RNAcentral is "partial 16S ribosomal RNA". It matches the Rfam family "Bacterial small subunit ribosomal RNA", at positions 338 to 795 of the family's 1533-position model. The record is from RNAcentral.